RNAcentral lists this ribosomal RNA (497 nucleotides) under uncultured bacterium. RNAcentral's name for it is "partial 16S ribosomal RNA". It matches the Rfam family "Bacterial small subunit ribosomal RNA", at positions 28 to 507 of the family's 1533-position model. The record is from RNAcentral.
GACGAACGCUGGCGGCGUGCCUAAUACAUGCAAGUAGAACGCUGAAGAGAGGAGCUUGCUCUUCUUGGAUGAGUUGCGAACGGGUGAGUAACGCGUAGGUAACCUGCCUUGUAGCGGGGGAUAACUAUUGGAAACGAUAGCUAAUACCGCAUAACAAUGGAUGACACAUGUCAUUUAUUUGAAAGGGGCAAUUGCUCCACUACAAGAUGGACCUGCGUUGUAUUAGCUAGUAGGUGAGGUAAUGGCUCACCUAGGCGACGAUACAUAGCCGACCUGAGAGGGUGAUCGGCCACACUGGGACUGAGACACGGCCCAGACUCCUACGGGAGGCAGCAGUAGGGAAUCUUCGGCAAUGGGGGCAACCCUGACCGGGCAACGCCGCGUGAGUGAAGAAGGUUUUCGGAUCGUAAAGCUCGGUUGUAAGUCAAGAACGGGUGUGAGAGUGGAAAGUUCACACUGUGACGGUAGCUUACCAGAAAGGGACGGCUAACUACGUG